GUCGAACGAAACUUCUUUAUCACCGAGUGCUUGCACUCACCGAUAAAGAGUUGAGUGGCGAACGGGUGAGUAACACGUGGGCAACCUGCCCAAAAGAGGGGGAUAACACUUGGAAACAGGUGCUAAUACCGCAUAACCAUAGUUACCGCAUGGUAACUAUGUAAAAGGUGGCUAUGCUACCGCUUUUGGAUGGGCCCGCGGCGCAUUAGCUAGUUGGUGGGGUAAAGGCUUACCAAGGCAAUGAUGCGUAGCCGAACUGAGAGGUUGAUCGGCCACAUUGGGACUGAGACACGGCCCAAACUCCUACGGGAGGCAGCAGUAGGGAAUCUUCCACAAUGGGCGAAAGCCUGAUGGAGCAACGCCGCGUGGGUGAAGAAGGUCCUCGGAUCGUAAAACCCUGUUGUUAGAGAAGAAAGUGCGUGAGAGUAACUGUUCACGUUUCGACGGUAUCUAACCAGAAAGCCACGGCUAACUACGUGCCAGCAGCCGCGGUAAUACGUAGGUGGCAAGCGUUAUCCGGAUUUAUUGGGCGUAAAGGGAACGCAGGCGGUCUUUUAAGUCUGAUGUGAAAGCCUUCGGCUUAACCGGAGUAGUGCAUUGGAAACUGGGAGACUUGAGUGCAGAAGAGGAGAGUGGAACUCCAUGUGUAGCGGUGAAAUGCGUAGAUAUAUGGAAGAACACCAGUGGCGAAAGCGGCUCUCUGGUCUGUAACUGACGCUGAGGUUCGAAAGCGUGNGUAGCAAACAGGAUUAGAUACCCUGGUNGUCCACGCCGUAAACGAUGAAUGCUAAGUG
Molecule: ribosomal RNA, 794 nt
Filed under: uncultured bacterium
Lineage: Bacteria
Description: bacterial SSU rRNA
Rfam family: Bacterial small subunit ribosomal RNA
Source: RNAcentral